CCCUCCCCCCUUCUCUUAGCCAAUAUUGUGAUUUUGGGGUCUCUAACAAGCACCUAUUGCGCAUCUAGAAAUAGAGAAACAACCACAAUAUCCAUAUAAAAUUAUCUGAUGAGAUUAUCAUUCAAUUCUUCACACCAGGACAGGGCAGGUCAAAGAGUUGUUCUAGAUAGUUAUAGUUUAUAAUGGACAUUUCUCGAUUUCUCCGGAUGCAUGCACCGGUGGUUUUCAACUGUGUCGAAUGCGCGCUUCGGAGGGAGUUCCAGAACGCAGUUAUAAACGGUUGGAGCGCGUCCCGGUUGUCGGCUUGGCUCCGUCUGUCAGUUAGAUCCCGGAGAGAGAGAGGGGGCUUGAUUGAGUAGGGGACGAUGAUGGCAAUAGCGAAGAUACCGUGGCUCCUUCUCCUCGAGAUGGGAUUGUACGCCAGUUGUUUCGUUUGUGGAAUCGUCACGGCAGCUUCUCUCACUAUCACACAGGGAAGUUUCAGUGGUCUCUGUAUCCUUUACGGGACAGUAAAUCACAACUCGUCAUCAGACUCCCUAUUGGUCCAGACCUCCAGCUCUCCCUCGCUCUGUUACUUUGUCUCUGCUAUCUCAGUGUGUGUAGCAGUGUUCUGUUUCUCUGUAUCACUGUACUGGAUAUAUACAUGCUGGCUGGAUGGAGGGGUUAACAGAGAGCGUCUAUGGCUGACCGUGACCCUGGUGGUGUGUGGAGUGUUUCUCUUCUUCCUCCUGCUGACGGGCUGUGUGUUGAAAAGAGGAAGAGACUCUCUGUGUGACUCUGUCCUACACGCUGUCCCCAACAU
Oncorhynchus masou masou (cherry salmon) is the source of this 802-nucleotide long non-coding RNA. RefSeq lists it as uncharacterized. NCBI's taxonomy places the organism in Eukaryota, Metazoa, Chordata, Actinopteri, Salmoniformes, Salmonidae. The transcript is spliced from 3 exons. The record is from RefSeq and is a predicted model, not a curated record.